RNAcentral lists this ribosomal RNA (514 nucleotides) under uncultured bacterium. RNAcentral describes it as "bacterial SSU rRNA". It matches the Rfam family "Bacterial small subunit ribosomal RNA", at positions 338 to 834 of the family's 1533-position model. The record is from RNAcentral.
CAUACGGGAGGCGGCAGUGGGGAAUAUUGGGCAAUGGGCGCAAGCCUGACCCAGUCCAUGCCGCGUGAGUGAUGAAGGCCUUCGGGUCGUAAAGCUCUGUGGGGAAGGACGAAACCGCCUAUGGCUAACAUCCAUGGGUCUUGACGGUACUUCCUUAGCAAGCACCGGACUAACUCCGUGCCAGCAGCCGCGGUAAUACGGAGGGUGCAAACGUUGCUCGGAAUCAUUGGGCGUAAAGCGCACGUAGGCGGCUCGUUAAGUCGGAUGUGAAAUCCCUCGGUCAACCGAGGAAGUGCAUUCGAAACUGGCAGGCUUGACUAUGGAACGAGGGUCGCGGGAAUUCCCGGUGUAGAGGUCAAAUUUCGUAGAUCUCCGGGAGGAACACCAGUGGCGAAAGGCGGGAACUGGGCCACUAUUGACCGCUAGGUGCGAAAAGCGUGGGAGCAAACCGGAUAGAUACCCUGGGUAAGUCCACGCCGUAAAACGAUGGGAUGCUAAGGCGUUGGGGGGUAUU